RNAcentral lists this ribosomal RNA (251 nucleotides) under uncultured bacterium. RNAcentral describes it as "partial 16S ribosomal RNA". It matches the Rfam family "Bacterial small subunit ribosomal RNA", at positions 333 to 601 of the family's 1533-position model. The record is from RNAcentral.
AGGGGCCUACGGGGGGCAGCAGUAGGGAAUAUUGCUCAAUGGGGGAAACCCUGAAGCAGCAACGCCGCGUGGAGGAUGAAGGUUUUCGGAUUGUAAACUCCUUUUGUUAGAGAAGAUAAUGACGGUAUCUAACGAAUAAGCACCGGCUAACUCCGUGCCAGCAGCCGCGGUAAUACGGAGGGUGCAAGCGUUACUCGGAAUCACUGGUCGUAAAGAGCGCGUAGGCGGGAUAGUAAGGCAGAUGGGAAAUC